UGAAGCUGGCCAGGGUGAGCAGAUGUAAUCACUUGUGGAGCAAGAAGGUGGGAAGGAGUUUGGUUGGCUAUGAGGCAGAUUGUGAGCCCAACAACAAGACAAGGCCGAGCAGCCUCAGGAGGGCCUGACUAAAGUCUGGUCAAGGAGUCUUUGUCAGUGGCUGUGAUGACAACAGCAACAAGGACAACCACAGAAAGAAAGUAACAAAGAAAAACAAACCAGCCUAAAAGAAGAGUGGCAGACCAAACACAGAGGGUCUUGAAAACGUUAAUGACCACAGAGGGAAAGGUAUUUUUCAAGUUUGUGCAUAACAGAAGGCAGAGAAAGCAGGCUGCUCUAAGUCAACUUGACUAUCUUCUACCAAGGGAAGAAGUCUCAGUUGGGAAAGAUGAAGAGACAAUGAACUUUCACCACAUUUGGAGAUGGUUCAGAUGCCAUGCACUGAACAACCUUCCACCGUGAUGUUUCUGCCUUGGAGCGGGUGGUCACCAUAGACUGACUCCCCUUAAAAUUACCAGUUCGAAAGUUUAGGCAACAGCUGUGAAGAUAGUCGGAUUCAUUUGGACGCCCAUUCUGGUUGACUAUUAUCUACUUUUGAAGACCUGUAAUGUCUCCAAUGUUUUGGUUCUGUUGGUUUUGUUCUUUACUGUUUUGUUCAAUUUUAUUAUAACUGAUGAUAUAGGCAAUUCUAUUGGAGAUAGCAGGAGGCAUUAUGGUAACCAUUGUUGAUCACCUUGUAUUAUGUUUUUACAUUAUCUAUUAUGUCCACCCUUUUGAUUUGACCGACUCUGUUCUGUUAUGUCACAUUUGGUUUUACUCUCUUCCAAACAAAGUAAUAAGAACUGUGGGAGCAAUAAAACCCAAAAUGUGUAAUAGUCAUUGUACAAAAGAGAGGAAAAGAAAGUGCUCUAAACGAUAUAACUGCAUGUAUAUUUAAGUGUAUAAGAUAGACAAUGAUAUUAAUGAGUUUUGUUCGAUCAUUGAACAGAACUGUUUGCAGUCUCACUGUUUGAAUGUCCACUUUAUAUGCUUUAAUUUUGUAACUUGAACAAAUAUUUCUAAGAUGACAAUAUGUAAUCCAUUAACUAGUGAUUUCCUACUGUUUAUUUUUUUUCUGAAAUUCUGUAUA
This is a long non-coding RNA of Cavia porcellus (domestic guinea pig), 1129 nucleotides long. RefSeq lists it as uncharacterized. The transcript is spliced from 3 exons. The record is from RefSeq and is a predicted model, not a curated record. NCBI's taxonomy places the organism in Eukaryota, Metazoa, Chordata, Mammalia, Rodentia, Caviidae.